CUUCUUCCUACCCCCACCAACCAGUAGCUGCCACCAGCCACUUUUCCAGCCAGUUUUGGUUGCCGGGAAGCCACCAUUUCCGGCCAACAUUCAUUCAAGCCUUUAAUUUACCCAUUCAGCUCCAAAUCAAGAUUCCAUUGGUUGUUGGAGUUGCAAGCUUGGUUAGGUGAGGUUCAAGAACUUGGAAAGUCUUGGGUUAAGAAAAGGUUGAUUGUGGCCGGAGAAUUCAAGGUUGAGUAUUAGCUUUACAUAGCUAGUUCUUGGAGUAUGAGGUAGGGAAAUUCUAACCUUUGCUCUUCUCUUUGAAUAUGUCCUCCUAUUAAGAACGUUUAUCUUUUCUCAUUGUUCAUUAUGAUUCUCGUUCUCGCCUUAAUUGUCCCUAAGG
This is a long non-coding RNA of Tripterygium wilfordii, 385 nucleotides long. RefSeq lists it as uncharacterized. The record is from RefSeq and is a predicted model, not a curated record. The transcript has 3 exons. NCBI's taxonomy places the organism in Eukaryota, Viridiplantae, Streptophyta, Magnoliopsida, Celastrales, Celastraceae.